RNAcentral lists this long non-coding RNA (436 nucleotides) under Pan troglodytes (chimpanzee). RNAcentral's name for it is "long non-coding RNA NONPTRT008175". The record is from RNAcentral. Lineage: Eukaryota; Metazoa; Chordata; Mammalia; Primates; Hominidae.
AGAUGAUCUUGCUGCACCUCAAUCUAUAGCAUCCUAGCUGAAGGUCAGGCCAGGACAGUGAGACCUGACUCCUUGCUCCUACCAGCCUACUAUGGCUUAAGACCCAGGGCCAGGGUCCCGUUGAUGUAACAGAGCAGAGGACCAGCAGAUGAAUGGACACCUUGAAACAGAGGAGCAGCAGGACCAGAGGCCAGACCAGGAGCUGACCGGGAGCUGGGGCCACGGGCCUAGGAGCACCCUGGUCAGGGCUAAGGCCAUGGCCCCGCCCCCACCGCCACUGGCUGCCAGCACCCCGCUCCUCCAUGGCGAGUUUGGCUCCUACCCAGCCCAAGGCCCACGCUUUGCCCUCACCCUUACAUCGCAGGCCCUGCACAUACAGCGGCUGCGCCCCAAACCUGAAGCCAGGCCCCGGGGUGGCCUGGUCCCGUUGGCCGAG